AGUAAUUUCUUUUAAGUUUUUUAAAUUUUACUUUUUAUUAAAAAGGAUAAAAUAAAUUUUAUAGACAAGAAGACCCUGUGAAACUUUACAUAUAAUAUGUAUAAUACCAUUAUUUAUGUUUUACUGGGGCGGUAAAGAAGAAAACGUUCUUAAUUUUAUAAAUCAUAAAAUUUCAAAAACUGAAAAUUUCAAAAUUAGAAUAAGUUACUCCAGGGAUAACAGCGUUAUUCAUUUUAAAAGCUCUUAUUGACAAAUGAGUUUGCGACCUCGAUGUUGAAUUAAGUAACCUUUAUUAUGAAAAGAUAAUAAAAGGGGGUCUGUUCGACCUUUAAAAACUUCCA
Molecule: ribosomal RNA, 341 nt
Filed under: Reddyanus petrzelkai
Lineage: Eukaryota; Metazoa; Arthropoda; Arachnida; Scorpiones; Buthidae
Description: partial large subunit ribosomal RNA
Rfam family: Bacterial large subunit ribosomal RNA (bases 64-341)
Source: RNAcentral